CGUUCUCUGAGUUGUUGGUGAUCAGGUGGAUGUCCCUGAGCCGAUACUUGUUUUUAAAAAGGGAUUCUUCUGCGCUGCCAGUGUGCAGGCCCGGCCCGUACCGGGAAGCCUGAGGCAGCCAUCUGACUCCCGCCUUGAACCUAUGGUUCAAGGGCUAACACCAGACACGGCAAUUUGGAGAACCC
Non-coding RNA from Rheinheimera nanhaiensis E407-8, 185 nucleotides. It matches the Rfam family "6S / SsrS RNA". Rfam says of the family: E. coli 6S RNA was the first non coding RNA to be sequenced, but its function was unknown until recently. It consists of 184 nucleotides that fold into an extended hairpin structure with a large single-stranded internal bulge. The record is from Rfam. NCBI's taxonomy places the organism in Bacteria, Pseudomonadati, Pseudomonadota, Gammaproteobacteria, Chromatiales, Chromatiaceae.